This 370-nucleotide long non-coding RNA is filed under the name Lynx canadensis (Canada lynx). RNAcentral's name for it is "lncRNA (ENSLCNG00005005779.1)". Lineage: Eukaryota; Metazoa; Chordata; Mammalia; Carnivora; Felidae. The record is from RNAcentral.
CGGAGACAGACAGUAACUUCAGCAAAAUCAGAUAUUUGGGCUGCUUGACCUCAUUGCGUGAUUGCUAUGAAUUAACAAGACUUUGUGGGAAAAGGGAACUUGCCUUUUGAGCUUUGUACCAAAGACCUGGGUAAAAACUAACCAUCUCAGUCUUUCCUGAGUACUUGGAAACUGCCGAGACCCCUGCUAAUGUGCUGACUGGUCGCUAUGGGCAGACGGUACCCGGAGGCUCACUGUCACCCAAGCAGCUCAUAUUUCAAAUUAUAACCUAUUUCCUGCUCCACUGCUGGCGUCCAGUGAUCCAUGUCAGAAGUACUUCCAGGUCAGACACACUUUCACGUUUUUCAAUGCAGAGAAGCAGUUGAAUAUU